UCCUAAACAUGAUGUCCAGCACACUGAUAGGAUGUGGGAGAUUCCUGUCCUUUCCACUCCUCAGUCUGCUCCAGCCCACCCACGUCGUACGUAGCCCUGGAUCCUUCAUGUCCAUGAAGAAGUUCCCAGAAAUCCACAGCAGCAUGCCUGCCAAGCUCUUGGGCAUCGUUCUCAAGGUCGUUGUUAUUGCGUGAGAGGCUGGGGCUGCCGCAUUGACUCAUUCUUUAUCAAAUCUGUGGAUGGGUCCCCGUGCUCUGAUGGGUGUAACCUGGAAUGAGCUAGAGGCAACCCUGGCUCCCUUAAGUUGUCCCUACCGUGGAACCAGGAGAGAAGCUGACACGCUGCGUGCUUUCAUUUCCUCCUUUCCUUCUGGUCACUGCAGCUUUCUUUACACAUCUGGAUCUGUUUCCCAGGUCUGUUUUCCGAGAUGGGCGAGCAGAGGACCAGAAGACUAGCCAAUGGCAGCAGAGUUUGGCUCCUUCCCACCCUGCACUGCCAAGAGCCUCCUGGGCUUCUCUCUAGAGUCAUCAGAUGAUAUCGUUUAGAUUGUCCUGAUAAGCGGAACCUUCUGGACAGAGGCUGGGGGCGAGGGAGGGCCAACUCAGGGAGAGGACUGCAGAGGAGGCAGAGGGUCCUGAGGGUCAAGUAUUGUAUCGAGAAGCCAAAUCCACCCACUUUCUUCAGCUCCAGAACUCCACUGUGUGCCUCAUCUCCUCCUGUGUGGCUUGAGACCUUGAUGGAGACAAGGUGGGGCUGGUACCCAGGCUUUACAAGGAGCCUUGUACACAUGGGCUCUGGCAGUGCCACGGCACAGGGGAUGGAGGGUUAUGUCAGGGCUCGGGGAUCUUCAGCCCUGUGCUCUGUCUCUUUGCUCUUAUGGCCCUAGGAAUCAGCUUUUCUGCUGGGGGAACUUCCAAGGACAUCUGCACAGGAAGGUCGACUCUGGAGCUUGCUUAGUAAUUCCAGGAACGUGGAUUUCCUUUUAAUUCAUAGAUAGAAGAAUCUAAGCCUUCAAGGAGUGAUUAUAAAGGUCAUAAAUGCAAUGUAACUCAAUGUGAAAUUCAAGCCAGGGCUUCUAUGCCUGUCUGAGACCCAGGACAUUUCUGUCUUCCAUUCCUUCCUUCACUAAAGAUACCUCUCCCGCCCCCACCCCAGUCUGUACUGAGAGUCACAAGUCAUAGGGUUUAGUCGCAGGGGACUGAGAGGAGGGAUAACUGUGAAAGACUGUGAGCCCUGGGCAAGUAUUCCCUUGGCAGAUAGACGAGGGAGGAGAACAAUGCGUGGUAGUGGCAGGACUUGAGCCGCCGUGGUGGUCCUGGGAUAUUGACAUGAUCCCUCGUGGUGGCAAUGGGUUAUCUAUACAAGCAGUCAUGGUGGCCCUGGGCUCUCAUAAAGCCUUCCAGAGGCUCUACCCCACUCUUGUGAGUGAAGAGGGGCUAUCUUACUUUCCCCUGUUCUUUCCCAUUGCUUACUGUAAUUGUUACUUAUAAAACUGAAAGAUUUAUUUAAUCAUGUGUAUAUAUGUGUAUGUGUGUGUAAGUAUAUGUGUAUGUAUGUAUGCAUGCAUGUAUGUAUUAGUUGUACUUCCCUUGCUGUGAUAAGACACCAAGACCAAGGCAACUUGCAGAACAAAGGGUUUAUUUGAACUUGUGGUUCCAGAGGGAUAGGAGUGCCCGGAAGCAAGCUGUCCGUGGCUGCCAGAGCAGCAAGCUGAGGGAGGGCUCACAUCUUGGAUUGAAAGCACUGAACAGAGAGAGCAAACUAGAAAUGGCAUGGGUCCUUAAACUCUAGAAGCCUGCCCCCAGUGAAGGCUUCUUCUAACAAGGCCACAUCUUCUAAAUCUCCCCAAAUAGUUCCACCAACUGGGGACCAUGUGCUCAAAUAGAUGAGACUAUGAGGAACAAUUUCAUUCAAACCACCACAGUUUGUGUUUUGGAGGUUAUGUGCACAGGGGUACAGGUGCCAAGGGAAGCCAGAGAGAACACGGGAUCUCCAGAAGUGGGAGUCACAGGUAGUUGUAAGCUACCCAAUGUGGGUGUUGAGAAUUGAACUUGAGUCCUUGAAAGAGCAGCCAACACUGAGCCACCUCUUCAGUUCCUUAUUACAUUUUUUUCCUUGCUUGAUGUAUACCUAAGCCUUGAGAUUGCCAAGUCUACAAUGGCAGGAAGCACACCAGUCCCAGCAGUGCCUGCCUACACAGUUCACUUAACUCAUACUUUAUUCCAAGCAGCCAAAGUGGGUGUCUCCUAAGUAACCCAGCUACAGAGUCUCCUGUGCAACUCAGGCUGGCCUCCAGCUUGUUAUCCUCCUCACUUCUGAUUCUCAAGUGCUGGGGACACAGGUAUGUACCAUCACACCUGGUCAGAGAUCGUGUGUGUGUGUGUCUAUCAAUCAAUCAUCUAUCAUAUCGUAUCAUAUCUAUCUAUCUGUCAUCUAUCUAUCUAUCUAUCUAUAUAUCGAUCGAUCUAUCUACCUAUCUACCUAUCACCUAUCUAUAUCUUUAUCUGUCUGUCUACCUGUCUAUCAUCUGUCUGUCUGUCUGUCAUUUAUCUAAUCUUGAUGAUCAGUUUGAAAAAUGAUAUAACCCAAAACAGCAGAUUGCUGUGGUAGUUAACACUGUCAACUAGAUGAGAUCCUUCUAGAAUCAACUAUUUGCGGUUACUUGGAUUAGGUGAGGAGCCUUUGCUAGCAGGCUGCUUGGUGAUCUGGGUUAGGUUAAAUGAGGUAGAAGACUCCUCUAAGGGAGGGUAGCACCAUUUCCCCACUUUGAGACCCGCACUUCAGGAAAUUGGGAAAGCUGUCUGGAUGUGGACAUUCAACUCUCUCUUCCUCCUGACUGGACACAGUGACCAGUUUCCCCAAGCUUCCCCACUCAGAACUUUCCCACCAGGAGGGACUGCUUCCCCUCCAACUGUGAGCUGAAAUAAACCCUUUGUCUCUU
RNAcentral lists this long non-coding RNA (2941 nucleotides) under Mus caroli (Ryukyu mouse). RNAcentral describes it as "lncRNA (MGP_CAROLIEiJ_G0006432.1)". The record is from RNAcentral. Lineage: Eukaryota; Metazoa; Chordata; Mammalia; Rodentia; Muridae.